RNAcentral lists this long non-coding RNA (6361 nucleotides) under Sus scrofa (pig). Its description in RNAcentral is "lncRNA (ENSSSCG00065015286.1)". Lineage: Eukaryota; Metazoa; Chordata; Mammalia; Artiodactyla; Suidae. The record is from RNAcentral.
UCAGCAUUACUUGUAACUUAAAAGUUUAAAACGUUUCCUUUCCUUUCUUGAAGCCUGAAGGUCUUACAAAGGAGGAAAACAGGCAAAAGGUAGCAGCCAGAUGGGGAAGUUGAAAGAUUUUCAGCAGCUUACAAGUGAUUACAUUUCCUGAAUGUGAACAAUGAAGGGUGGCUGGGCUGUCCUUUAGGUUUGUAGCUGGAAUUUGUGUAGCCUUCAUGAUGGAAAAACCGAAGAUUUGUUUGCAGGAUGAGUUCAGGUGUAGGCUUCACUUUUUCUCUCUUCCUGCUGAGCAACCCCAGCCUCUGAUCAAGGGGCACUUUUUGUUGUGUGCGGAGGGGUGCCUCUGACUCAUUUUGGGGCAGUUACUGGACCCGAUGCCUGUUAAAAGCAUUUGCUGUAUUUGUCAUUCUGCUUGGAAUAGUGAAAAGAGUCUUUCUCAGCCACUGUGUCUGGAUAUUUUGUUGUGGCUCUGGGCACUGAUUGCCCAGCCUCUCACUUUGUGGCCGAGGGGUGGGACUCCACACAGAGGACGGGUCUCGCUUACAUUUGCUGCCGCGUGGGCUUGUUCCUCCCAGUCUCUGGCCCCCUCCUUGCCUUCUGAAAAGGGUGAGCUUAUCCCAGCCCUGUCAUUGCCCCUGCAGUGCUGAGCCUGUACCAGGCAUGCUCUCAAGAGCCUGUUUCUGACUGGGGGAAGUAUAAAGCCUACCAGGUAAGAGUGCAUACUGAAAAAUGGCUGAGUGGAAGUGAAAAUUGACCAAGGGGAGUAGUUCGGAUAAGUUCAGUUUUUUUUAUAGCUUGCAGGAGGGCUGUCACACUUUUAUUUUUAUAAUCCCUGAAGGUAAGCAGAUAUAGGGUUUAUGCAGUGGCAGAAAAGAAAAUACAUCUGUUCUUAAAUUCCUUAAAUUGCUCAGACUUUUUAUAAAGAUUGUUUGAUUUAUUCAUUACUUCUUUUUUUCUUCAUAUUUUCUAAUAAGGGAGAGACGUAAGACAAAAGGAAGACAACAGAGUGUAUUAGACACAGUUUUGUGGUAAUUCUGGCACUAAUUAGAUGCAGAUUUAUUUUAAAGCUUUUUAUAAAAUUUCCCUGAACCUGACUGGAACUCAAAUAAUUUUUUUUCAGUAAGGCAUUUAUUGAUAGUAUUGGAUUGAUUGUUUGGAUUUUUCUGUUAUCAUUUUGCAUAUUUGCGUAACACUUUGUAUGUUCAGUUUUUUUAAAUUUAAGUAUAGUUGAUUUACAGUGUUGUGCCUAUUUCUGCUGUACAGCAAAGUAACCCACUCAUACAUAUAUAUGCUUUCUUUUUCUUGUAUUAUCUUCCAUUAUGUUUAGCAUUUACAUAUUUAAAAAAUUAACCUAUAUUGGAGUAUAUGAGAAAUCUCUGUACCUUCUGCCCAAUAUUGCUUUAAAUGUAAAACUGUUCAAAAAUCUCAGUCCAGCAAAAAAGAAAAUUAACUAGUCUCUUGAAAAUAUUUUCUGCUAAUACCUAAAUCUGAUGCAAUACAGCACAGAGAGUGUUAAACCUUUUCCCAUCGUGCAUGAAUUAUUACCGAAACUGAUUCACUCUUAUUUUUCAAAAUGACUAAUAAAAGUAGGGGACAUAUUUCAACUUAUUGUAUUUUGAUUGCCACUUUUUAAAAAACUAUAGCAAGAGAGGCAGAAUGAUUGUUUUAAAAACUCUCUUCCUGAAUAAGACGUGAGACGGAAAAUAGGCUUUGUACUUACUUUGGAAAUGCACUUAUUUAUUGCUUUGGAAAGUUGGUUGGACAAUAGGUAAAAUUCCUUCCUAAAAUAAGAGUGGAACUCAGUAACUGAGAAAGUUGGGGUUCUUGUAUUUGGCAAUCAUAUUUAUAAAACCCCCCUUUUUCAUGUAGUUGCACAUAUUUACAAAGAAAUGAGGCUAAAGUAGGAAAUUCACAGUGAGUACAGAGUAAUUGGCUUCAGAUGGCUUUAGAAAAAUCUUUCGUAUUUGUGUACUUUGUUUUGUCAGUGAGGAAUAUCUUCGUAUCUUCCAAGCCAUGUUAUUAUGAAAGAAAAUGUUAAACCUUUAGUUUUGUGUGACCCGCAACUAGCCACAGAUAUUUGAGCCUAAAUCCGUUUCUAUUACAGUGACUGAAAUAAACAGAAUACAGUCAUUAAAAUGCAGUGAUUCUAGACAGAUGUAUAUGUGAUACAUGAAUAAAAUACAACAUGCCUUGGUGGUUUAGAAGGGGAAUGAAGAACUUUCCCAGCUGUCUUAAGCUGAAAUGGGGACGGUAGCCUGGGAAUUCCUCUGAUAGUUACCUGUAGGAUAAAACAUUUUAUACCCUUGUUACAUUAAAGAGCAAUUACAUGCAAAGUGAUGGAAGAAAUAUGGACUAUUUCUAGACCCAUCGGAGAGUGUGAAACUUUUCCAAAGUGUUUGCAGCACGUACCAAUGUGUUGGAUGUGAUAGACUCUCGGGGCAUCCGGGGUCCAGGCAGCCUUUUUCUGCAGGUGGGGGCCAGGUCACAGCUUUUCAGAGAGAAAGCAGUCCUCAGGGGAUGGUGUUCAUGGGAGACCAGGCAUUGAGGCUUUGUGUGGCUCACCUGUGUCCCUAUACUUUGCUUCUCAGUCUGAAGUUAAAGCUGCCUUUGGGAAGACUUAGGUCCCUGAAGCUUGAGCUAUAGACUCGAUGUAAGAUCAGGCCACUACUUCUCACACUUGACUGUGUGUAUGAAGCAUCUGUGAUUUGCUUAAACAGCAGAUUCUGAGACAGCAGGUGUGGGGCGAAGCCUGACAUUCUGCAUUUCUAACAAGCUUCCGGGGGGCUGCCGACGCUGCAGGUUCUGGGAGCAUACUUGGGCGAUAUCAAACUCGAUAACACAAUAUCAAACAGAAUAUUAAAUGUGAUUUGGCAUGAUAUUAAAAACCUCCCAGAUAAUUAUUUUUAACUUAACGAACAUUGUCUAAUCAAUGCUAAGCAAUGGGCUGGUGCGGCAAAUGACGGAGAAUGUGAUCAAGGUGAAGUGACCAGUGUAGGCACUGGCUCUUCACAGAUGAUGUGGCUGAUGACGUGUCACCUCCUGUUUUCUCUGGAAGCAACGUGCAGUAUCAUAGCCUCCGAUGAGCCACCAUGGCUUUUCUUUUCUGGGACUCAUUACCUUUGACAGCCCUGCCCCUGGCCUCUGGGGACAGGUCUCUCUUGCGUCACCACCAAGGUCUCAUCCACUCCCUCUCUCUGCCCAUCAGGAGCGUCCUGCGUGUGUUGGGAUUGAUUUGCAUCUUGCUCCUAUAUCUUCUAAGAGCAUCUUCUGCCCAGCCUGGCUUGCAGGUGCCCCACUACAGCUCAGGGAGAAUUGAAGUAUAGAAUUGUCAUCUGUGGGGAAACUGCUUCUUUUCCUUUCACAAAUCCGAUAUCAUCAGACGGUCUCCAGCGUUGAUUUUUUUUUUUUAUAAACCUUCCAUGUCUCAACUUGUUAGGUUUAUGCUUUGAGUUUUCUACAUAAAUAUUUGGUCAGGGUCCUAGAUACGCUAUGAACUCUUAUUGUUAUUAUUUUUUAAUGGCAACACCCAUAGCAUAUGGAAGUUCCAUCUGAGCCCCAGCAGCCACUGCAACGCCAGAUCCUUUAACCCACUGUAUGGGGCUGGGAAUCAAACCUGUGCCUCCACAGCAACCUGAGGUGCUAUGGUCAGAUUCUUAACCCGCUGCACCACAGCAGGAACUCUGGCACUAUGGACUCUUAAAGGGAAGGGAGUGGGCAUUGGAGCACUAGUGUGGUACCCCAAAUGCUUCAGGAAUUUUUAUUCCCAUUGUAUUUUCCUCUUCAAACCUUUUUAAUGAAAAUUUCACAUGUACAGUAACUUGAAAGAGUUUUCAGUGAACAGCUGUAUAUUCACCACCUAGAUUCCACUGUUAACAUUUUGCUUCAUCACAUCUGUCAACCUUCCUAUCCCUUUGUCCAUCUCUUCCCAUUUUUUUUUUUUUUUUUUUUUUUUUUUUUUUUGUCCUUUAGGGCCGUACCCGCAGCAUGUGGACGUUCCCAGGCUAGGGGUAAAGUUAGAGAUACAGCUGCCAGCCUACACUACAGCUAAGAGCAACGAUGGAUUCUUAACCCAUGGAGCACCAUCUUAUUUUUGAUGCCUUUUAAAAUAAGCCUCAGUUGGCAUAUUUCACUAUUCUUAUGAUUAACUAGAGUUCAGUAUUUUUUGAGUGUUUCAUGUGAAAUGCACACAUCCUUAAUUGUACAUAAGUUGAGCUUUGACACGUUGAGUGUACCUGUAUAAAUCCCCGGCAAAAUAUAGAACAUUACCAGCACCUGAGAAAGUUCCCUUAUGCCCCUUCUCGGCUCCUUUUGUUCUUUUGUGAAUUUUCCUAAAUGAGGACUUAAUUCAUCCCAAAUAGGUGAUUUGUGAUUAGUUUAUUUCUUGAAACUAAAUUUUGAUCAACUUUAUUUCAUGCAGGUUACUUUCAUAUUUAGCAGUACACAUUGUACAUUGUACUUUCUUUUUCUUUUCUUUUUUUUUCUUUUUUUUCUUUUUAGUGCCGUACUCUAGUAUAUGGAGGUUCCCAAGCUAGGGGUUGAAUCGGAGCUGUAGCCGCUAGCGGACACCACUGACACAGCAACUCGGGAUCUGAGCUGCCUCUUUGACCUACGCCACAGCUCAUGGCAACACCGGAUCCUUAACCCACUGAGUGAGGCCACGGAUCAAACCUGUGUCCUCAUGGAUUCUAGUCAGAUUCAUUUCCGCUGAGCCAUGAUGGGAACUCCUGUACGACACUUUCUAACAUGUUAAUAUUUCAUCUAGACUAACUCAUCAUGUUCCUUAGUUCUGACACAUCAAAGAUUUAAUAACAGUAACUUAGAAUAUCUGGUUUUCCUCUCGGCAGAGAUUACUUGCCAAAAACUCGGUUGAUUCUUAUACAUCAGUAGACACAGAUACUUGGCAGUAACCAUGUUCUAAGAGGUUCUUGGUGCGAUUGCACCUGUUUUCUCUGGAUACAAAGGAACAAAACAAAACAAAACAAAACACCUUUUUCAGGCCAGCUGUUCCUUGUGAAGAUUUUAUUUGAGGAUGUAUUCACCUCAUCAUUGAGCUUGAAAUAUAUGUUGGUUGACACUGCUUCUUUGGGAACAGAAAGCUCUGUUCCUGUGAUAAUCUUAAUUCCAGAAAUAUUCCAUGUUUACAUACAGGAGUUUGUGUCAACUUUACCCUCAAGUAAUUUGGAUCUUCUCUCAUAAAGAUACAAGGAGCUGUGUAAAACCUCCAUUACCCGGACUGCACCUAGCCUGAAACUCCAGGCUCUCCGAAUGACUUAUAACCAGAAAAAUAAAAAUAUCCAGCCAUGUCUUUGGUCACAAGCAGUUUUUAAAUAUCCAGCAAGAAAGCAUAGGCCAGAGAGUAUGAUAAAAAUGAACAAGUUUAUAAAGUUGUUCAGGGUUUUUUUUUUUUUUUUUUUUUUUUUUGUCUUUUUGCCUUUUGAGGGCCGCUCCCCCACCUGGGAACCUCCAUAUGCCGCGGGAGCGGCCCAAAGAAAUAGCAAAAAGACAAAAAAAAAAACAAAACAGAAACUGGCUCUGUCUCAUUAGGGCUAAUAUAUAGUUAACUGCCUAUAGGCCAAAAACCAAACCAAACCAAAACAACAGCAAAAAGAACCCCAAAGCCCUGCAUGCAUAUUUACUCCAUUCUCGUUUUCCAAGCUAUUUAAAGUUGCUUUUCUCUGAGAUGAAAGAACAGAGUCAUAUUUACAAAUAAAUACUUGCUGAAGUCAAUUCUGAUAAAAUAAUUUGGAGAACUGUUGUAAGAAAAACAUAAAUUCAAGUUAUAAAUCAAAGCAGCUUUCCACGCAAUUACAACAGUAUGAGACUUCUACUUAUUUAAAUAUUUUAUCUUAUGACAUUGGGGGCAUCAGAGGCGUAUAUCUGCAUUUCUUGGUAUAAUCAUGUAACCUAAAGUAGAGAAUUGUGGGAAAUGGUCACUUUUUCCCCCUCUUACAAUGUCAAGCCCCAGUGGAAUAGAAAAAAAUGUCAGUUAUCUUCCCUCAUAUCUUAUAGAGUACUUGCACUUAUUAUAAGUUCAUCUUAUAACAAAGUGGUACCAUUUUUGCAGGUCUUAUAAUACUUUCAGCUUCGAUUAAAAUUUUAAGAUGCUUGGAAGUUCCCAUUGCGGCUCAGUGGGAACGAACCCGACUUGUUUCCAUCAGGAUGUGGGUUCUGUGGCCAAUAGGUCAAGGAUCUGGCUUUGCCACAAGCUGUGGUAUAGGUCGCAGAUGUGGCUCGGAUCCCACAUUGCUGUGUCUGUGGCAUAGGCUGGUGGCUACAGAUCCAAUUCAACUCCUAGCCUGGGAACCUCCAUGUGCCUUGAGUGUGGCCCUAAGAAGCAAAAAAAAAAAAAAAAAAAAAAAAA